RNAcentral lists this ribosomal RNA (510 nucleotides) under uncultured Glomus. RNAcentral's name for it is "SSU rRNA". It matches the Rfam family "Eukaryotic small subunit ribosomal RNA", at positions 569 to 1081 of the family's 1831-position model. Lineage: Eukaryota; Fungi; Glomeromycota; Glomeromycetes; Glomerales; Glomeraceae. The record is from RNAcentral.
AGCAGCCGCGGUAAUUCCAGCUCCAAUAGCGUAUAUUAAAGUUGUUGCAGUUAAAAAGCUCGUAGUUGAAUUUCGAGAUCAGUACGCUGGUCGUGCCUUCGGUAUGCACUGGUGUCACUGGUUUCUCCCUUCUGAAGAACCGUCAUGUCAUUAAGUUGGUGUGGCGGGGAAUCAGGACUGUUACUUUGAAAAAAUUAGAGUGUUUAAAGCAGGCUCGCGCUUGAAUACAUUAGCAUGGAAUAAUGAAAUAGGACGUUUGACCCUAUUUUGUUGGUUUCUAGGAUCGACGUAAUGAUUAAUAGGGAUAGUUGGGGGCAUUAGUAUUCAAUUGUCAGAGGUGAAAUUCUUGGAUUUAUUGAAGACUAACUACUGCGAAAGCAUUUGCCAAGGAUGUUUUCAUUAAUCAAGAACGAAAGUUAGGGGAUCGAAGACGAUCAGAUACCGUCGUAGUCUUAACCAUAAACUAUGCCGACUAGGGAUCGGAUGAUGUUAAUUUUUAAUGACUCAUUC